Molecule: long non-coding RNA, 493 nt
Filed under: Lupinus angustifolius (narrow-leaved blue lupine)
Lineage: Eukaryota; Viridiplantae; Streptophyta; Magnoliopsida; Fabales; Fabaceae
Description: long non-coding RNA (LANG_LNC002628)
Source: RNAcentral
UUCAACAUUAUGAUGUAUGCUUCACCCUUGGCUGUAAUGGUCAGUAAUCAUUCAUUCUCCAACUAAACCAAUAUGGUUAUUUAUUCAAGCUUUAAUUAAUAGUUAAUCUAUAUGACAUUGCAUUACCACCAUAGACAAUGCAAAUCUUGGGUUUUUUAUGCAUCAAUUGAUUUUACCAUGGUGCAGAAAUUGGUGAUCACGACAAAAAGCGUGGAGUACAUGCCACUGUUCAUCUCUAUCGCCUCCUUUGGGAAUGGUGUGGCAUGGACGACUUAUGCUCUCAUCCGUUUCGAUCCAUUCAUCACUGUAAAUAUAAAUUUAAUUUCAUGAUUUUCUCUUCUGUUCUCUGGUUUAAUCAUACAAUCAAAUGACAAAAUCACUAUAAAGUGAAGGAAUAACCUAUUGGUAUGUUGGGCUAUAUAUCUUGCACAAUUGACAGGUACCAAAUGGGAUUGGGACUUUGUUUGCAGUGGCACAGCUGAUUCUGUAUGCA